AGUGAACGCUGGCGGUAGGCCUAACACAUGCAAGUCGAACGGCAGCACAGUAAGAGCUUGCUCUUACGGGUGGCGAGUGGCGGACGGGUGAGGAAUACAUCGGAAUCUACUUUUUCGUGGGGGAUAACGUUGGGAAACUUACGCUAAUACCGCAUACGACCUACGGGUGAAAGCAGGGGAUCUUCGGACCUUGCGCGAUUGAAUGAGCCGAUGUCGGAUUAGCUAGUUGGCGGGGUAAAGGCCCACCAAGGCGACGAUCCGUAGCUGGUCUGAGAGGAUGAUCAGCCACACUGGAACUGAGACACGGUCCAGACUCCUACGGGAGGCAGCAGUGGGGAAUAUUGGACAAUGGGCGCAAGCCUGAUCCAGCCAUACCGCGUGGGUGAAGAAGGUCUUCGGGUUGUAAAGCCCUUUUGUUGGGAAAGAAAAGCAGCAGGUUAAUACCCCGCUGUUCUGACGGUACCCAAAGAAUAAGCACCGGCUAACUUCGUG
This 492-nucleotide ribosomal RNA is filed under the name uncultured bacterium. RNAcentral's name for it is "partial 16S ribosomal RNA". It matches the Rfam family "Bacterial small subunit ribosomal RNA", at positions 29 to 507 of the family's 1533-position model. The record is from RNAcentral.